This is a long non-coding RNA of Chiroxiphia lanceolata (lance-tailed manakin), 708 nucleotides long. RefSeq lists it as uncharacterized. The record is from RefSeq and is a predicted model, not a curated record. Lineage: Eukaryota; Metazoa; Chordata; Aves; Passeriformes; Pipridae. The transcript is spliced from 4 exons.
CGGGGCCGCGAGCCCUGGCGGGGGCCGGCCCGUCCCGCUGUCCCCGGAGCGCCGGGAGCGGACGGGGCGCGCUCGGAGCUGAGGAUGGAUUGGCGAGGGAGGCAGAAGACGUUUGCGGAGCAGCCACGGAGACCUGGGGAAGGCGAGGUCUCGGAGCAGCAGCUUUACAGGCAUCUUCGUUCGGGAGCACCUCCACACCUGCAAGGCUGCACAAUUAUAGAAGCAGAUCAGAGAACUCCCCAUGAUGCUGUAUAUUGAUUCAGAAAUGAGAUUUCAGGCUCAUCUCUACACAGUCUAAGCAGUUCAUAAAUACUUAUUCUCCCAGUUUCCCUUUUCUAAAUAUUGGGAACAAGAAGCUGAACUACAGAGAGACUGCAUUCUCCAGAUGCUUUCAUUCUGGGUGACAAAUCUGAGAGAAAAAAUACCGGACUACAAGUGAUGCAAGAAGGAUAUUUAACACUCAGCAAAACACAACCCCCAUAAGCCACACAACUGGAGACUAUCACAUGUGCACACACAAAAUUAUCUAUGCUUAAAGCAUCUUGAGCUGUAUCCUAUAGGAGCUCUACAGCACAGACAAAGAAGCCAAUUCUAUGGGGUAUCAUUCAAUUAUCUGACCAGAAGAUUCCUCAUCCCAUUUGGUAAUCACGCCUCAGUUUCCAUCUUCAAAAUAAAAUAAGUGUUAUCCUACAGAUAAUGCUCUAGAAA